GAGUUUGAUGAUGGCUCUGAAUGAACGCUAUCCAAAUGCUUGACACAUGCUAAUCGAACGCCAAUUGCGUUUUUUACAUAGAUUGGAGUGGUGUACAGGUGAGUAUAAUAUGGAUCUUACCUUGAAGUAAGGGAAUAUAAAUCAAAUUGAUUUUAUUUUUAAAAUCGACUGAGCAAGAUCCCUUAUAAAUUAUAAAGAAAGUCAAUUUUCGCUUUUAGAAGUCUAUAUUUCGAGUAGCAUUAGCUAAAGGAUAAAUAUUUAGUUAGCAUAAUAUUCGUAGCCAAGACUGGGAAGUCAAUUGGUCACAGUGUGGCAUGAAAAAGCCCACGGUUAACUACAGCAGUGAGGAAUUUUGGUCAAUAGCCUAACGGCUGAACCAGCAACUUGGAGGAAUGUACAGGGAAAGCUGGUAAAAGGCAAUGUACCUGGUAGUAUUAGAAAUUAAUAUGAGAUUAACUAAGUUAAUUAAAAUUCAAAGUAGAUAUUUGAUUAUGACAGUGUUUGCUUUAUGUCUUGACCAAAUCACGUGCCAGCAGUCGCGGUAAUACGUGGAAGAUUAGUGUUAUUCAUAUUUAACAGGUUUAAAGGGUACCUAGACGGUUAAUUAAGCUUUAAAAAGUACUAAUUAACUAGAGUUUAAUGUAAGAAUGAUUGAGUACGGUGAGUGAAGAGAUUAAAUUCUGUCAUACCACUUAGGAACUGGUAAAGGCAAAGGCAACUUUCUAUGUAUAAACUGACGUUAAGGGACGAAGGCUCAUAUCAAAAAGAAGGAUUAGAUACCCUAGUAUUGUGAGCAGACAAUGAUGAGUGUCAUAUAUAAGAAUUUAUUUUUAUGUAUAAAUGAAAGUGUAAGCACUCCACCUUAAGAGUAACGUGGCAACACGGGAACUGAAAUCAUUAGGCCGUUUCUGAGACCCGUAGUGAAGUAUGUUGUUUAAUUUGAUAAUCCGCAAAAAACCUUACCACAAUUUGCAUAACUAUGUUUAAGUAAGUAUAGUUACAAGCGUUGCACGGCUGUCUUCAGUCAAUGUUGUGAAACUUUGGUUAAACCCAUUAAAUUGACGUAAACCCUGAUUUUAUUUAUUAUAGAAUAGUUCGCCGCUAUAUUGGUAAUGAUAUAUGGGAUCAAGACAAGUCAUCAUGGCCUGAAUAUUGUGGGCUAUAGACGUGCUGCAUUUGCCUUAACAAAAAGAUGCAAAAUUGAAAAAUUUAGCUAAUCUUUAAAAAAGGACAAAAUAAGAAUUGUAGUCUGAAAUUCGACUACAUGAAAAAGGAAUUACGAGUAAUCGUGUAUAAGUACGGCACGGUGGAUGUUUAAUCAGUUAGGUACUAACAACUCGUCAAGCACUGAAAGAAGAAUGUGCAAUAAGUUUGGUUUCUAUGCUAAUAAAUUUUAAAUAAAUAUUUUUAAAUAUUAGUUUUAGAGGGCUUCGUAUGUGUGUCUUUGAUUGGUGUUAAGUCGAAAUACGGUUCGUGUAAUGGAAAUUGC
This 1489-nucleotide ribosomal RNA is filed under the name Acanthothecis fontana. Its description in RNAcentral is "SSU rRNA". It matches the Rfam family "Bacterial small subunit ribosomal RNA". The record is from RNAcentral. Lineage: Eukaryota; Fungi; Ascomycota; Lecanoromycetes; Ostropales; Graphidaceae.